GGGGUGAGGGUUAGGGUUAGAGGUGAGGGUUAGGUUAGGGGUGAGGGUUAGGUUAGGGGUGAGGGUUAGGGUUAGUAGGUAGUUGCCAUGUUACUAUCCUAAUGAAGUGUUACCAGGGUUAGAGGUGAGGGUUAGAGGUGAGGGUUAGAGGUGAGGGUUAGGUUAGGGGUGAGGGUUAGGCUAGGGGUUAGGGUUAGUAGAUAGUUGCCAUGUUACUAUCCUAAUGAAGUGUUACCAGGGUUAGGGGUGAGGGUUAGGGGUGAGGGUUAGGCUAGGGGUUAGGGUUAGUAGAUAGUUGCCGUGUUACUAUCCUAAUGAAGUGUUACCAAGAGGUUUUGUACAUACUAUACUUUAGAUUGGUCUGUUGUUUUGGCUGAUAACAUUUCAUUGUAUUUUGAAUGAUUCUGAAAUCUUUUUUUUAAGGUGAAUCUCUCUUUUUUUUUUUUUUUUUAGCAGUGUCUCUUUUCUAGAAAGAUGAGAAGUCCCUUCAUUUUUAGAAAGAAAGAAAGGAGUUAGUGUGUCUGCAGGUGUGCAGCUGCUAUUGGAAAAAUGGAUCAGUAAACCAUUGUUCUGGUUCACCACUGUGUGUGUGUGUGUGUGUGUGUGUGUGUGUGUGUGUGUGCGUGCGUGCAGGGGGGAGAUAUUUGAGUUUUAGAGGACACCUGGAGUUUUUCCCACGUAUGAGCAUACACACACACACACACACACAAAUCGCUUUAAUGGUUUGCUAAAUACAAAGUAUUUUAAGUUAAGAGAAUGAUCUUAAGUAUGACGUGACAGCACUAAUGAAAUAAAGACGAACAUCUGAAUGGGUUAAACUGAAA
Molecule: non-coding RNA, 824 nt
Organism: Oncorhynchus mykiss (rainbow trout)
Lineage: Eukaryota; Metazoa; Chordata; Actinopteri; Salmoniformes; Salmonidae
Source: RefSeq, a predicted model, not a curated record